This 425-nucleotide ribosomal RNA is filed under the name uncultured bacterium. RNAcentral describes it as "bacterial SSU rRNA". It matches the Rfam family "Bacterial small subunit ribosomal RNA", at positions 356 to 773 of the family's 1533-position model. The record is from RNAcentral.
GGGGAAUUUUGGACAAUGGGGGCAACCCUGAUCCAGCCAUGCCGCGUGCAGGAUGAAGGCCUUCGGGUUGUAAACUGCUUUUGUACGGAACGAAAAGCUCUCCUUUAAUAAAGGGGGGUCAUGACGGUACCGUAAGAAUAAGCACCGGCUAACUACGUGCCAGCAGCCGCGGUAAUACGUAGGGUGCAAGCGUUAAUCGGAAUUACUGGGCGUAAAGCGUGCGCAGGCGGUUUUGUAAGACAGAGGUGAAAUCCCCGGGCUCAACCUGGGAACUGCCUUUGUGACUGCAAGGCUGGAGUGCGGCAGAGGGGGAUGGAAUUCCGCGUGUAGCAGUGAAAUGCGUAGAUAUGCGGAGGAACACCGAUGGCGAAGGCAAUCCCCUGGGCCUGCACUGACGCUCAUGCACGAAAGCGUGGGGAGCAAAC